Molecule: non-coding RNA, 83 nt
Organism: Desmophyllum pertusum
Lineage: Eukaryota; Metazoa; Cnidaria; Anthozoa; Scleractinia; Caryophylliidae
Source: the annotation of a GenBank genome assembly
UCUCCUGUGCAUGUAGCUCAGUGCAUGGUUAGAGCGUCCGACCGGUGUUCAGAAGGUCAUAGGUUCGACUCCUGUUGGGAGAA